CGCCGGACGCCGCCGAACCGUGCACCGGUCGAUGACCGGUGCGCAGGCCGGGGACCCACCGCAGCACUGGGGUGAAGCGCGACCUCGUCGCGCCGGGCGACUCCCCCGUCCGAACCCGUCAGCUAACCCGGUAGGCGGUCGUGGAGAACAGGA
Molecule: small RNA, 153 nt
Filed under: Geodermatophilus obscurus
Lineage: Bacteria; Bacillati; Actinomycetota; Actinomycetes; Geodermatophilales; Geodermatophilaceae
Also listed under: 1 other name
Description: c-di-AMP sequence
Rfam family: c-di-AMP riboswitch aptamer (ydaO/yuaA leader)
About the family: This family represents a conserved RNA structure found upstream of the ydaO and yuaA genes in Bacillus subtilis and related genes in other bacteria. The ydaO/yuaA element is thought to act as a genetic "off" switch for the ydaO and yuaA genes in its native state. It is believed that the element may be triggered during osmotic shock leading to activation of ydaO, a predicted amino acid transporter gene, and members of the yuaA-yubG operon which code for KtrA and KtrB K+ transporters.
Source: RNAcentral